RNAcentral lists this ribosomal RNA (253 nucleotides) under uncultured bacterium. RNAcentral describes it as "partial 16S ribosomal RNA". It matches the Rfam family "Bacterial small subunit ribosomal RNA", at positions 524 to 776 of the family's 1533-position model. The record is from RNAcentral.
UACGGAGGGUGCGAGCGUUAAUCGGAAUUACUGGGCGUAAAGCGCACGUAGGCGGUUAAUUAAGUUGGAUGUGAAAGCCCUGGGCUCAACCUGGGAAUUGCAUCCAAAACUGGUGAACUAGAGUAUGGUAGAGGGGGGUAGAAUUCACGGUGUAGCGGUGAAAUGCGUAGAUAUCGUGAGGAAUACCGAUGGCGAAGGCAGCCCCCUGGACUGAUACUGACGCUGAGGUGCGAAAGCGUGGGGAGCGAACAGG